AGAACCUCAGAAUAAUAAAAACAAAACACGUUAAUGCAAACUACACCAAUGUACAUAUUACUUGGGAGCAAAUGGCACUUCAUAAUUAUAACAUCUGUCAUUGACCUCACAGCUCAACUGCUUCAAUAGACAACCAGUCAGACAGCAAAUUGGACCGUCGGACAGCCAGUUGGACAGCCAGUUGGACAGCCAGUUGAUUGGAUAGUUGGACAGCCAGUUGAUUGGAUAGUUGGACAGCCAGUUGAUCGGAUAGUUGGACAGCCAGUUGAUCGGAUAGUUGGACAGCCAGUUGGACAGCCAGUUGGACAGCCAGUUGGACAGCCAGUUGAUUGGAUAGUUGGACAGCCAGUUGAUCGGAUAGUUGGACAGCCAGUUGAUUGGAUAGUUGGACAGCCAGUUGAUUGGAUAGUUGGACAGCCAGUUGAUCGGAUAGUUGGACAGCCAGUUGAUCGGAUAGUUGGACAGUCAGUUGAUCGGAUAGUUGGACAGUCAGUUGAUCGGAUAGUUGGACAGCCAGUUGAUCGGAUAGUUGGACAGCCAGUUGAUCGGAUAGUUGGACAGCCAGUUGAUCGGAUAGUUGGACAGCCAGUUGGACAGCCAGUUGGACAGCCAGUUGAUUGGAUAGUUGGACAGCCAGUUGGACAGCCAGUUGAUUGGAUAGUUGGACAGCCAGUUGGACAGCCAGUUGGACAGCCAGUUGGACAGCCAGUUGAUUGGAUAGUUGGACAGUCAGUUGAUUGGAUAGUUGGACAGUCAGUUGAUUGGAUAGUUGGACAGUCAGUUGAUCGGAUAGUUGGACAGCCAGUUGAUCUGAUAGUUGGACAGCCCAUUGAUUGGAUAGUUGGACAGCCAGUUGGACAGCCAGUUGAUCGGAUAGUUGGACAGCCAGUUGAUCAGAUAGUUGGACAGCCAGUUGAUCAGAUAGUUGGACAGCC
This is a non-coding RNA of Pelobates cultripes (western spadefoot toad), 935 nucleotides long. The record is from the annotation of a GenBank genome assembly. Lineage: Eukaryota; Metazoa; Chordata; Amphibia; Anura; Pelobatidae.